This 301-nucleotide ribosomal RNA is filed under the name uncultured bacterium. Its description in RNAcentral is "partial 16S ribosomal RNA". It matches the Rfam family "Bacterial small subunit ribosomal RNA", at positions 509 to 807 of the family's 1533-position model. The record is from RNAcentral.
CAGUAGCCGCGGUAAUACGAAGGGUGCAAGCGUUAAUCGGAAUUACUGGGCGUAAAGCGUGCGUAGGCGGUUUGUUAAGUCUGCUGUGAAAUCCCCGGGCUCAACCUGGGAAUAGCAGUGGAUACUGGCAAGCUAGAGUGUGUCAGAGGAUGGUGGAAUUCCCGGUGUAGCGGUGAAAUGCGUAGAGAUCGGGAGGAACAUCAGUGGCGAAGGCGGCCAUCUGGGACAACACUGACGCUGAGGCACGAAAGCGUGGGGAGCAAACAGGAUUAGAUACCCCCGUAGUCCCUGUCUCUUAUAC